AUUGGCCCAACCUUCUAUGUAGCACCUUUGGAAGACAGUCACAUGCUUGGUGACUGAAAGGAAAGCUUCAUCAAGAUAUUGCAGACAUCCAACAGGCUGUGACAAAUGAGCUUAGUAGCAUCUCAGUUGAAAAUUUCUCUGCUUGCUUCCAAGACCUCCAGAAAUGUUGUGAACAGUUUAUAGAUAUCCAAGGGGACUACCACAAUAGGAGCUAGGAUCAUUACUUGAGACAAACAAAACAUUCUGGAAAAAACAGGCUCAAGGAGAAGUGAGAUGCCUCCUGAUGAUGAUUUGAACAUGUAUUCCUAUUGUACUAAUGAUUCUAUAGAGAAGCUGAAGAACAUGGAGAUUGCAACACAGACAGGUGCAGACAUCAAAAUUACCGCAUAACAUACACCAGUUCUGGUGCAUGCAUACUACGGCAAAGUCUCUUAUGCACAACCCUUGAGGGGGUGUUAAAGUAACAGAAUGGGACACCACUUAAUUAAGAGUGAGGUUCAGACAAUGUCAAGGAACCUGUACUAUCUCCUGAUGUAUAUGCCAAUUAUGUAACCAAAUGUUCUGAAAUGGACUGGACUGCCCAUUGUCCCAACCUGAAACCAAUGGAACAUCUUAAGGAUGAAUAAGAAAGUUGAUUUUGAUCCAGGCUGCAGCAUCCAACAUCACUAUUUUCAGUGGUAUUGGCUUUGGGGCAGAAUGGGCUGCUAUUCCUCCAUUCACACAUCUCAUUGAAAGUGUUCAUAGCAGGGAAAUAAAAUCAUAUUUAAGGAGCAACACAUGCAAAGUUGCAUUACUUUGGGAAAAAAAAACUUAUAAAGCUCAAAGUUUUCAAGGCAAUGUAACUAAAUUUGGCACACUUGUUAAGGAAUGUUAUAUGGAUAUACACAUAUAUUUCCAUGC
This is a long non-coding RNA of Schistocerca serialis cubense, 900 nucleotides long. RefSeq lists it as uncharacterized. The record is from RefSeq and is a predicted model, not a curated record. Lineage: Eukaryota; Metazoa; Arthropoda; Insecta; Orthoptera; Acrididae. The transcript is spliced from 3 exons.